This 103-nucleotide small nucleolar RNA is filed under the name Gossypium hirsutum (cotton). Its description in RNAcentral is "Plant small nucleolar RNA R71". It matches the Rfam family "Plant small nucleolar RNA R71". Rfam says of the family: R71 is a member of the C/D box family of snoRNAs containing the C (UGAUGA) and D (CUGA) box motifs. Multiple nearly identical copies of this snoRNA have been identified in Arabidopsis, and it is thought to function as a 2'-O-ribose methylation guide for 18S ribosomal RNA. Lineage: Eukaryota; Viridiplantae; Streptophyta; Magnoliopsida; Malvales; Malvaceae. The record is from Rfam by way of RNAcentral.
GGACUAUCGAGCAUUUUCUAAUUAACUCCUUAAAUCACUCCCAUGUUUCAUAUAAUGUUUCAUCCUCAGAUUACCGAAAGGACGUAAUAUCGUUCCUCAGUUU